UUUUAAACCUGCUUGCCACCGUUAAUGUUCCUGCGGUGACAUGAAGAGCCAAAUACCAGAGUCUCUCGCCUCUUGGAGUUUAUGGGCCAAUUUCUCCCAAGAUGUGUGAGCUUGUUGUGCCGCCGCCAGUGGACUCGCCAGCGGCUGAGCAGCUCAGAGUGACAGCGACUCAGCGUCUGGAAGCCCCACUGGGUUGUGAAAUGAAGAAGGCCUUCUUUGCCCCUGAUGCAGCCUGGGCGAGCCCCGAGGCUCCAGAAGCGAGCAUCUCCCAGCUCCUAAAGAGCAGACAUAUAUCCUGCCUUUAAGACAAGACUACAAUUGCAAAUCUGAGAAUAUAAAUUACACUUUCAUCUUU
Molecule: long non-coding RNA, 355 nt
Filed under: Homo sapiens (human)
Lineage: Eukaryota; Metazoa; Chordata; Mammalia; Primates; Hominidae
Description: non-protein coding LINC01739:9
Source: RNAcentral